AGGGAAGUGGCGCAAUUGGUAGCGCAACGGUCUCCAAAACCGUAGGUUGUGGGUUCGAGUCCCGCCUUCCCUGCUA
This 76-nucleotide transfer RNA is filed under the name Bifidobacterium coryneforme. Its description in RNAcentral is "tRNA-Trp". It matches the Rfam family "tRNA". From Rfam's summary of the family: Transfer RNA (tRNA) molecules are approximately 80 nucleotides in length. Their secondary structure includes four short double-helical elements and three loops (D, anti-codon, and T loops). Lineage: Bacteria; Bacillati; Actinomycetota; Actinomycetes; Bifidobacteriales; Bifidobacteriaceae. RNAcentral also lists the same sequence under 13 other names. The record is from RNAcentral.